Molecule: ribosomal RNA, 467 nt
Filed under: uncultured bacterium
Lineage: Bacteria
Description: partial 16S ribosomal RNA
Rfam family: Bacterial small subunit ribosomal RNA
Source: RNAcentral
ACGAACGCUGGCGGCGUGCUUAACACAUGCAAGUCGAACGGAAAGGCCCUGCUUUUGUGGGGUGCUCGAGUGGCGAACGGGUGAGUAACACGUGAGUAACCUGCCCUUGACUUUGGGAUAACUUCAGGAAACUGGGGCUAAUACCGGAUAGGAGCUCCUGCUGCAUGGUGGGGGUUGGAAAGUUUCGGCGGUUGGGGAUGGACUCGCGGCUUAUCAGCUUGUUGGUGGGGUAGAGGCUUACCAAGGCUUUGACGGGUAGCCGGCCUGAGAGGGUGACCGGCCACAUUGGGACUGAGAUACGGCCCAGACUCCUACGGGAGGCAGCAGUGGGGAAUAUUGCACAAUGGGCGGAAGCCUGAUGCAGCAACGCCGCGUGCGGGAUGACGGCCUUCGGGUUGUAAACCGCUUUCGCCUGUGACGAAGCGUGAGUGACGGUAAUGGGUAAAGAAGCACCGGCUAACUACGUG